GGGGCAUCGGUAAACACCGGUAACUUUGAACCCGCCUCUAAAAGAGCACCAGAUUCCUAAUCUGGGGGUCACGCGUUCGAAUCGCGUCGGGAUCACCA
RNAcentral lists this transfer RNA (98 nucleotides) under Rhizobium aethiopicum. RNAcentral's name for it is "tRNA-Arg". The stretch from base 28 to 95 matches the Rfam family "tRNA". Rfam says of the family: Transfer RNA (tRNA) molecules are approximately 80 nucleotides in length. Their secondary structure includes four short double-helical elements and three loops (D, anti-codon, and T loops). Lineage: Bacteria; Pseudomonadati; Pseudomonadota; Alphaproteobacteria; Hyphomicrobiales; Rhizobiaceae. The record is from RNAcentral.